GCAAACCUCCUGGGAUUGGACGGAUGGCCUGCGGGUGGUAAACCUCUUUCGGCAGGAACGAAAUCGUGCGCUCUAAUAUUUCGCGUGGAUGACGGUACCUGAAGAAUAAGCACCGGCUAACUACGUGCCAGCAGCCGCGGUAAUACGUAGGGUGCGAGCGUUAAUCGGAAUUACUGGGCGUAAAGCGUGCGCAGGCGGUCGUGUAAGACAGGUGUGAAAUCCCCGGGCUUAACCUGGGAACUGCGCUUGUGACUGCACGGCUAGAGUAUGGCAGAGGGGGGUGGAAUUCCACGUGUAGCAGUGAAAUGCGUAGAUAUGUGGAGGAACACCGAUGGCGAAGGCAACCCCCUGGGCCAGUACUGACGCUCAUGCACGAAAGCGUGGGGAGCAAACAGGAUUAGAUACCCUGGUAGUCCACGCCCUAAACGAUGUCAACUGGGUGUUCGAUGACGAGACUCAUAGAAUACCGCCUAUAACGUGUUAAAUUCCCGCCUCUGGAGAAUACCCUCACAGUAUUAAACUCAAA
This 526-nucleotide ribosomal RNA is filed under the name uncultured prokaryote. RNAcentral's name for it is "bacterial SSU rRNA". It matches the Rfam family "Bacterial small subunit ribosomal RNA", at positions 391 to 905 of the family's 1533-position model. The record is from RNAcentral.